RNAcentral lists this ribosomal RNA (625 nucleotides) under uncultured bacterium. RNAcentral describes it as "bacterial SSU rRNA". It matches the Rfam family "Bacterial small subunit ribosomal RNA", at positions 232 to 872 of the family's 1533-position model. The record is from RNAcentral.
CGCGGCCUAUCAGCUUGUUGGUGGGGUAACGGCCCACCAAGGCUACGACGGGUAGCUGGUUUGAGAGAACGAUCAGCCACACUGGGACUGAGACGCGGCCCAGACUCCUACGGGAGGCAGCAGUGGGGAAUCUUGCGCAAUGGGCGAAAGCCUGACGCAGCAACGCCGCGUGCGGGAUGAAGGCCCUCGGGUUGUAAACCGCUUUCAGCAGGGACGAAAAUGACGGUACCUGCAGAAGAAGCCCCGGCUAACUACGUGCCAGCAGCCGCGGUAAUACGUAGGGGGCAAGCGUUGUCCGGAUUUAUUGGGCGUAAAGAGCUCGUAGGCGGUUCUGUAAGUCGAAUGUGAAAAAUCUGGGCUCAACCCAGUGGAGCACUCGAUACUGCAGUGACUAGAGUCCGGUAGGGGAGUGUGGAAUUCCUGGUGUAGCGGUGAAAUGCGCAGAUAUCAGGAGGAACACCAACGGCGAAGGCAGCACUCUGGGCCGGUACUGACGCUGAGGAGCGAAAGCAUGGGUAGCGAACAGGAUUAGAUACCCUGGUAGUCCAUGCCGUAAACGUUGGGCACUAGGUGUGGGGAGGAGUCAACCCUCUCUGUGCCGUAGCUAACGCAUUAAGUGCCCCGC